GAACCGUCCAAACGUUAUUCGGAAUCACUGGGCUUAAAGGGUGCGUAGGCGGCCCGGCAAGUUGGGUGUGAAAUCCCUCGGCUCAACCGAGGAAUUGCGCCCAAAACUGCCGGACUAGAGGGAGACAGAGGUGAGCGGAACUCAGGGUGGAGCGGUGAAAUGCGUUGAUAUCCUGAGGAACACCUGUGGCGAAAGCGGCUCACUGGGUCUUUUCUGACGCUGAGGCACGAAAGCUAGGGGAGCGAACGGGAUUAGAUACCCCGGUAGUCCUAGCUGUAAACGAUGAGCACUGGGCCCGGAGGAUCCCUCCCAUAGUCUUCCGGCCCGUAGCGAAAGUGUUAAGUGCUCCGCCUGGGGGAGUAUGGUCGCAAGGCUG
Molecule: ribosomal RNA, 376 nt
Filed under: uncultured organism
Description: partial 16S ribosomal RNA
Rfam family: Bacterial small subunit ribosomal RNA
Source: RNAcentral